Molecule: small RNA, 415 nt
Filed under: Oryza sativa Japonica Group (Japanese rice)
Lineage: Eukaryota; Viridiplantae; Streptophyta; Magnoliopsida; Poales; Poaceae
Description: sRNA Os04g0345700
Source: RNAcentral
CUCUCUUUCUUAUCUCCUUCUCUGCUCUCUUCUCCCCUUUCUUCUCGAUUCCCCUCCCAGAUCCAGCGGCGGCGGGCUAGGGAGGGGCCGGUCGUGGCCGGGAGCGGCAGCGGCGGCGGGCGGGAGCUGCGCGGCGCGGCGUGAGCGGCAUGGCAGCGGCGGGGGAUCUCCGGAGGCUCUGACAACAACGAUGGGAGGGGCGGCUCUGGUGGCGGCGACGGCGACAACGAGGACAAGGACGGCUGUUGAGGCUUCGAGCGACGUCGACAGCGACGAGGAUGGCGUCGCCGGCGGUGAGCUAGGGUUUCGGCAUUUUUGAGAUUUUUAUUUUUUUUUCGAUUUUUAAUGUGGCUGAUUUGGAUUUGGCUGUUGAUUUUGAUUCGGAUAUCCGGCAAAAAAAGUCCGGAUAGUUUCC